AUACAGCGUGAGGGAUAGAAGCGACAUCCUUUUGCGGUCCUGCAAGAUCCGCAAAAGAUAUAGCGGAUAGCCCGACCCGUC
Molecule: small RNA, 81 nt
Organism: Leadbetterella byssophila DSM 17132
Lineage: Bacteria; Pseudomonadati; Bacteroidota; Cytophagia; Cytophagales; Leadbetterellaceae
Rfam family: Flavo-1 RNA
Source: Rfam